Molecule: ribosomal RNA, 327 nt
Filed under: Triticum aestivum (bread wheat)
Lineage: Eukaryota; Viridiplantae; Streptophyta; Magnoliopsida; Poales; Poaceae
Description: partial small subunit ribosomal RNA
Source: RNAcentral
AUGGAGGCUCACGCGCAUCAUGCGGUUGGUGGAUCUCGGCUGCUGCGGCCAUGUCGAUGGCGGCGGAGGCGAGGGACCCACGCUUGCUGGUGUCGUGAUUCCAGUGGGUCGGAGCUGCUGGAGGUGAGGACCAGAGGUGCUCCUUUACGCGCGUUGUCUCCGUCAGCUACCUCGACCCCUGGUGGAGGGGCGGUCUCAAGUCUCACCGACGGUUUCUCGGUGCGCGGCCCCGUGUCGACGGUGGCAGAUAGACCGGCUGUAUGCCUGGUCGUGCUGCUGUUUUGGAGGGUACGAGAUCAGGCUCGCGGGUGCCCGCGCCCGAUCUGA